RNAcentral lists this non-coding RNA (31 nucleotides) under Mus musculus (house mouse). Lineage: Eukaryota; Metazoa; Chordata; Mammalia; Rodentia; Muridae. The record is from RNAcentral.
UCGCUCAUUGUCAAGCACCAGUGGGAGAUGU